CCUACGGGGGGCAGCAGUGAGGAAUAUUGGUCAAUGGGCGCGAGCCUGAACCAGCCAAGUAGCGUGAAGGAUGACUGCCCUACGGGUUGUAAACUUCUUUUAUAAAGGAAUAAAGUGAGGCACGUGUGCCUUUUUGUGUGUAUUUUAUGAAUAAGGAUCGGCUAACUCCGUGCCAGCAGCCGCGGUAAUACGGAGGAUCCGAGCGUUAUCCGGAUUUAUUGGGGUUAAAGGGAGCGUAUAUGGGUUGUUAAGUCAGGUGUGAAAGGUUGGGGCCCAACCGUAAAAAUGCCAUUGAUACUGGCAGUCUUGAGGAGAGGUGAGGUAGGCGGAAAGCGGGGUG
This 340-nucleotide ribosomal RNA is filed under the name uncultured bacterium. RNAcentral's name for it is "partial 16S ribosomal RNA". It matches the Rfam family "Bacterial small subunit ribosomal RNA", at positions 338 to 675 of the family's 1533-position model. The record is from RNAcentral.